GGGGGUAUAGCUCAGUGGUAGAGUGCUUGCCUAGCAUGCGAGAGGUCCUGAGUUUGGUCUGCAGUACUGCCU
RNAcentral lists this transfer RNA (72 nucleotides) under Ictidomys tridecemlineatus (thirteen-lined ground squirrel). RNAcentral's name for it is "Spermophilus tridecemlineatus (thirteen-lined ground squirrel) tRNA". It matches the Rfam family "tRNA". From Rfam's summary of the family: Transfer RNA (tRNA) molecules are approximately 80 nucleotides in length. Their secondary structure includes four short double-helical elements and three loops (D, anti-codon, and T loops). Lineage: Eukaryota; Metazoa; Chordata; Mammalia; Rodentia; Sciuridae. The record is from Rfam by way of RNAcentral.